Molecule: ribosomal RNA, 253 nt
Filed under: uncultured bacterium
Lineage: Bacteria
Description: partial 16S ribosomal RNA
Rfam family: Bacterial small subunit ribosomal RNA
Source: RNAcentral
UACGUAGGGUCCGAGCGUUGUCCGGAAUUACUGGGCGUAAAGAGCUCGUAGGUGGUUUGUCGCGUUGUUCGUGAAAACUCACAGCUCAACUGUGGGCGUGCGGGCGAUACGGGCAGACUAGAGUACUGCAGGGGAGACUGGAAUUCCUGGUGUAGCGGUGGAAUGCGGAGAUAUCAGGAGGAACACCGAUGGCGAAGGCAGGUCUCUGGGCACUUACUGACGCUGAGGAGCGAAAGCGUGGGGAGCGAACAGG